RNAcentral lists this ribosomal RNA (440 nucleotides) under uncultured bacterium. RNAcentral's name for it is "partial 16S ribosomal RNA". It matches the Rfam family "Bacterial small subunit ribosomal RNA", at positions 338 to 795 of the family's 1533-position model. The record is from RNAcentral.
CCUACGUGCGGCUGCAGUGGGGGAUAUUGCACAAUGCGGGAAACCCUGAUGCAGCGACGCCGCGUGAGUGAAGAAGUAUUUCGGUAUGUAAAGCUCUAUCAGCAGGGAAGAAAAUGACAGUACCUGACCAAGAAGCCCCGGCUAACUACGUGCCAGCAGCCGCGGUAAUACGUAGGGGGCAAGCGUUAUCCGGAUUUACUGGGUGUAAAGGGAGCGUAGACGGCAGCACAAGUCUGGAGUGAAAUGCCGGGGCUUAACCCCGGAACUGCUUUGGAAACUGUGCAGCUAGAGUGCAGGAGAGGUAAGUGGAAUUCCUAGUGUAGCGGUGAAAUGCGUAGAUAUUAGGAGGAACACCAGUGGCGAAGGCGGCUUACUGGACUGUAACUGACGCUGAUGCUCGAAAGCGCGGGUAUCGAACAGGAUUAGAUACCCUGGUAGUC